This 253-nucleotide ribosomal RNA is filed under the name uncultured bacterium. RNAcentral describes it as "partial 16S ribosomal RNA". It matches the Rfam family "Bacterial small subunit ribosomal RNA", at positions 524 to 776 of the family's 1533-position model. The record is from RNAcentral.
UACGUAGGGUGCAAGCGUUGUCCGGAAUUAUUGGGCGUAAAGAGCUCGUAGGCGGUUUGUUGCGUCGGCUGUGAAAUCCCGAGGCUCAACCUCGGGUCUGCAGUCGAUACGAGCAAACUAGAGUGUUGCAGGGGAGACUGGAAUUCCUGGUGUAGCGGUGAAAUGCGCAGAUAUCAGGAGGAACACCGGUGGCGAAGGCGGGUCUCUGGGCAACAACUGACGCUGAGGCGCGAAAGCCAGGGGAGCGAACGGG